GCCGCGAUAGGUUAACUGGUAAACCACCCGGCUGUGGCCCGGGAAACUUCGCGUUCGACUCGCGAUCGCGGCC
Molecule: transfer RNA, 73 nt
Filed under: Nanobdellota archaeon
Lineage: Archaea; Nanobdellati; Nanobdellota
Description: tRNA-His
Rfam family: tRNA
About the family: Transfer RNA (tRNA) molecules are approximately 80 nucleotides in length. Their secondary structure includes four short double-helical elements and three loops (D, anti-codon, and T loops). Further hydrogen bonds mediate the characteristic L-shaped molecular structure. tRNAs have two regions of fundamental functional importance: the anti-codon, which is responsible for specific mRNA codon recognition, and the 3' end, to which the tRNAs corresponding amino acid is attached (by aminoacyl-tRNA synthetases). tRNAs cope with the degeneracy of the genetic code in two manners: having more than one tRNA (with a specific anti-codon) for a particular amino acid; and 'wobble' base-pairing, i.e. permitting non-standard base-pairing at the 3rd anti-codon position.
Source: RNAcentral